CUGAAUUUGUGUUCUCCUCUGGAAAAAAAAACUGCAUAAUCUGCCAUAAAGCCAUCUAGGCCGUGUUUGACCCAUAAAUACCCUGUUUGCAUUUUUGCCUCGGUAAAUCCUCCACCCUCUCCUGGUAAACGCCGAGUCAAAGAAGCUUAAGGAAAGAUAGAGCAAUGAAUUUGCCGCUCAUGAAUACAGUUAAUGUUGUUUUUUCACGUCUCAUAUGUUACUUGAUUUGAUGUUCUGUUAUUGUUAUUUCAGCUCUUAAUCUUCUGGGAUUGGAAGGGCGGCGCAUCUUAGGCCGACAGACAAUGGAGGCCAGAGAAGACUUCCUGACUCUACUCAGAUUUAAGGAAAAUGACCUAUGAGAAAACGAAACAAGACCCUGGGAAGCAGCACCGGAUUCCAGUUCUGGGCAUGCAUUGAAAAGGGGCAAAGGUGCUGGAGCAGAUCACUGGUCCCUGGAGUUGGAACGCAGGCCGGGAUUCCUU
This is a long non-coding RNA of Gasterosteus aculeatus aculeatus (three-spined stickleback), 482 nucleotides long. Lineage: Eukaryota; Metazoa; Chordata; Actinopteri; Perciformes; Gasterosteidae. The record is from Ensembl.